This 2814-nucleotide ribosomal RNA is filed under the name Klebsiella pneumoniae. Its description in RNAcentral is "bacterial LSU rRNA". It matches the Rfam family "Bacterial large subunit ribosomal RNA". The record is from RNAcentral. Lineage: Bacteria; Pseudomonadati; Pseudomonadota; Gammaproteobacteria; Enterobacterales; Enterobacteriaceae.
UUAAGCGACUAAGCGUACACGGUGGAUGCCCUGGCAGUCAGAGGCGAUGAAGGACGUGCUAAUCUGCGAAAAGCGUCGGUAAGGUGAUAUGAACCGUUAUAACCGGCGAUGUCCGAAUGGGGAAACCCAGUGUGAUUCGUCACACUAUCGUUAACUGAAUACAUAGGUUAACGAGGCGAACCGGGGGAACUGAAACAUCUAAGUACCCCGAGGAAAAGAAAUCAACCGAGAUUCCCCCAGUAGCGGCGAGCGAACGGGGAGCAGCCCAGAGUCUGAAUCAGCUUGUGUGUUAGUGGAACGGUCUGGAAAGUCCGACGGUACAGGGUGAUAGUCCCGUACACCAAAAUGCACAGGUUGUGAACUCGAAGAGUAGGGCGGGACACGUGGUAUCCUGUCUGAAUAUGGGGGGACCAUCCUCCAAGGCUAAAUACUCCUGACUGACCGAUAGUGAACCAGUACCGUGAGGGAAAGGCGAAAAGAACCCCGGCGAGGGGAGUGAAAAAGAACCUGAAACCGUGUACGUACAAGCAGUGGGAGCACCUUCGGGUGUGACUGCGUACCUUUUGUAUAAUGGGUCAGCGACUUAUAUUCUGUAGCAAGGUUAACCGUAUAGGGGAGCCGCAGGGAAACCGAGUCUUAACUGGGCGUUAAGUUGCAGGGUAUAGACCCGAAACCCGGUGAUCUAGCCAUGGGCAGGUUGAAGGUUGGGUAACACUAACUGGAGGACCGAACCGACUAAUGUUGAAAAAUUAGCGGAUGACUUGUGGCUGGGGGUGAAAGGCCAAUCAAACCGGGAGAUAGCUGGUUCUCCCCGAAAGCUAUUUAGGUAGCGCCUCGUGAACUCAUCUUCGGGGGUAGAGCACUGUUUCGGCUAGGGGGUCAUCCCGACUUACCAACCCGAUGCAAACUACGAAUACCGAAGAAUGUUAUCACGGGAGACACACGGCGGGUGCUAACGUCCGUCGUGAAGAGGGAAACAACCCAGACCGCCAGCUAAGGUCCCAAAGUCAUGGUUAAGUGGGAAACGAUGUGGGAAGGCACAGACAGCCAGGAUGUUGGCUUAGAAGCAGCCAUCAUUUAAAGAAAGCGUAAUAGCUCACUGGUCGAGUCGGCCUGCGCGGAAGAUGUAACGGGGCUAAACCAUGCACCGAAGCUGCGGCAGCGACACUAUGUGUUGUUGGGUAGGGGAGCGUUCUGUAAGCCUGCGAAGGUGACCUGUGAGGGUUGCUGGAGGUAUCAGAAGUGCGAAUGCUGACAUAAGUAACGAUAAAGCGGGUGAAAAGCCCGCUCGCCGGAAGACCAAGGGUUCCUGUCCAACGUUAAUCGGGGCAGGGUGAGUCGACCCCUAAGGCGAGGCCGAAAGGCGUAGUCGAUGGGAAACAGGUUAAUAUUCCUGUACUUGGUGUUACUGCGAAGGGGGGACGGAGAAGGCUAUGUUAGCCGGGCGACGGUUGUCCCGGUUUAAGCAUGUAGGCUGAUUGUCCAGGCAAAUCCGGAUAAUCAAGGCUGAGGUGUGAUGACGAGGCACUACGGUGCUGAAGUAACAAAUGCCCUGCUUCCAGGAAAAGCCUCUAAGCAUCAGGUAACAUCAAAUCGUACCCCAAACCGACACAGGUGGUCAGGUAGAGAAUACCAAGGCGCUUGAGAGAACUCGGGUGAAGGAACUAGGCAAAAUGGUGCCGUAACUUCGGGAGAAGGCACGCUGGUGUGUAGGUGAAGUCCCUGCGGAUGGAGCUGAGACCAGUCGAAGAUACCAGCUGGCUGCAACUGUUUAUUAAAAACACAGCACUGUGCAAACACGAAAGUGGACGUAUACGGUGUGACGCCUGCCCGGUGCCGGAAGGUUAAUUGAUGGGGUUAUCCGUAAGGAGAAGCUCUUGAUCGAAGCCCCGGUAAACGGCGGCCGUAACUAUAACGGUCCUAAGGUAGCGAAAUUCCUUGUCGGGUAAGUUCCGACCUGCACGAAUGGCGUAAUGAUGGCCAGGCUGUCUCCACCCGAGACUCAGUGAAAUUGAACUCGCUGUGAAGAUGCAGUGUACCCGCGGCAAGACGGAAAGACCCCGUGAACCUUUACUAUAGCUUGACACUGAACAUUGAGCCUUGAUGUGUAGGAUAGGUGGGAGGCUUUGAAGCGUGGACGCCAGUCUGCGUGGAGCCAACCUUGAAAUACCACCCUUUAAUGUUUGAUGUUCUAACGUUGGCCCCUUACCGGGGUUGCGGACAGUGUCUGGUGGGUAGUUUGACUGGGGCGGUCUCCUCCCAAAGCGUAACGGAGGAGCACGAAGGUUAGCUAAUCCUGGUCGGACAUCAGGAGGUUAGUGCAAUGGCAUAAGCUAGCUUGACUGCGAGCGUGACGGCGCGAGCAGGUGCGAAAGCAGGUCAUAGUGAUCCGGUGGUUCUGAAUGGAAGGGCCAUCGCUCAACGGAUAAAAGGUACUCCGGGGAUAACAGGCUGAUACCGCCCAAGAGUUCAUAUCGACGGCGGUGUUUGGCACCUCGAUGUCGGCUCAUCACAUCCUGGGGCUGAAGUAGGUCCCAAGGGUAUGGCUGUUCGCCAUUUAAAGUGGUACGCGAGCUGGGUUUAGAACGUCGUGAGACAGUUCGGUCCCUAUCUGCCGUGGGCGCUGGAGAAUUGAGGGGGGCUGCUCCUAGUACGAGAGGACCGGAGUGGACGCAUCACUGGUGUUCGGGUUGUCAUGCCAAUGGCACUGCCCGGUAGCUAAAUGCGGAAGAGAUAAGUGCUGAAAGCAUCUAAGCACGAAACUUGCCCCGAGAUGAGUUCUCCCUGAGACUUUAAGUCUCCUGAAGGAACGUU